AUGAAAAUCAUAGGAUGGAACUGUCAUGGUAUGCUCUCCCCCACGGCAGUUCGCGAGCUCUUGGAUCUACAACGGCGGACCAAGGCAGAUUUAAUUUUUCUUUCCGAGUCUCAUUUGAAUAAAUGUAAAGCUGAUGAGCUACGUUGUGUUUUAGAUUUUGAUUCGAUGUUUGUAGUGGAGAGUGAUGGUCGGGCCGGUGGCCUCGUUAUGUUUUACCACAAAAUGAAUAAAGGUUUUAAACUAUGUGGCGGCUAA
Molecule: ribosomal RNA, 255 nt
Filed under: Triticum aestivum (bread wheat)
Lineage: Eukaryota; Viridiplantae; Streptophyta; Magnoliopsida; Poales; Poaceae
Description: partial small subunit ribosomal RNA
Source: RNAcentral